Molecule: unclassified non-coding RNA, 365 nt
Filed under: soil metagenome
Description: partial contains 5.8S ribosomal RNA, internal transcribed spacer 2, and large subunit ribosomal RNA
Rfam family: 5.8S ribosomal RNA (bases 1-120)
Source: RNAcentral
GAUGAAGAACGUAGCUAAAUGCGAUAAGUAAUGUGAAUUGCAGAAUUCAGUGAACCAUCGAAUCUUUGAACGCACAUUGCGCCCGCCAGUAUUCUGGCGGGCAUGCCUGUCCGAGCGUCAUCUCAACCCUCGAGCCCCCCCGGGGGCUCGGCGUUGGGGACCGGCCCCGCCCCAGGGCGCGCCGCCCCCCAAAUACAGUGGCGGUCCCGCCGCAGCCUCCCCUGCGCAGUAGCUUGCACACUCGCACCGGAGAGCGGCGCGGCCACGCCGUAAAACCCCCCGACCACGGAGCCCCGGCUCCUGAACGUUGACCUCGGAUCAGGUAGGAAUACCCGCUGAACUUAAGCAUAUCAAUAAGCGGAGGA